RNAcentral lists this ribosomal RNA (492 nucleotides) under uncultured bacterium. Its description in RNAcentral is "partial 16S ribosomal RNA". It matches the Rfam family "Bacterial small subunit ribosomal RNA", at positions 29 to 507 of the family's 1533-position model. The record is from RNAcentral.
AGUGAACGCUGGCGGUAGGCCUAACACAUGCAAGUCGAACGGCAGCACAGUAAGAGCUUGCUCUUACGGGUGGCGAGUGGCGGACGGGUGAGGAAUACAUCGGAAUCUACUUUUUCGUGGGGGAUAACGUAGGGAAACUUACGCUAAUACCGCAUACGACCUACGGGUGAAAGCAUGGGAUCUUCGGACCUUGCGCGAUUGAAUGAGCCGAUGUCGGAUUAGCUAGUUGGCGGGGUAAAGGCCCACCAAGGCGACGAUCCGUAGCUGGUCUGAGAGGAUGAUCAGCCACACUGGAACGGAGACACGGUCCAGACGCCUAAGGGAGGCAGCAGUGGGGAAAAUUGGACAAUGGGCGCAAGCCUGAUCAAGACAUACCGAGUGGGUGAAGAAGGCCUUCGGGUUGUAAAGCCCUUUUGUUGGGAAAGAAAAGCAGCAGGUUAAUACCCAGCUGUUCUGACGGUAAACAAAGAAUAAGCACCGGCUAAAUUAGUG